CCUACGGGAUGCAGCAGUAGGGAAUAUUGCUCAAUGGGGGAAACCCUGAAGCAGCAACGCCGCGUGGAGGAUGAAGGUUUUCGGAUUGUAAACUCCUUUUGUUAGAGAAGAUAAUGACGGUAUCUAACGAAUAAGCACCGGCUAACUCCGUGCCAGCAGCCGCGGUAAUACGGAGGGUGCAAGCGUUACUCGGAAUCACUGGGCGUAAAGGGCGCGUAGGCGGGAUAGCAAGUCAGAUGUGAAAUCCUAUGGCUUAACCAUAGAACUGCAUUUGAAACUGUUAUUCUAGAGUAUGGGAGAGGUAGGUGGAAUUCUUGGUGUAGGGGUAAAAUCCGUAGAGAUCAAGAGGAAUACUCAUUGCGAAGGCGACCUGCUAGAACAUAACUGACGCUGAUGCGCGAAAGCGUGGGGAGCAGACAGGAUUAGAUACCCCGGUAGUC
Molecule: ribosomal RNA, 440 nt
Filed under: uncultured bacterium
Lineage: Bacteria
Description: partial 16S ribosomal RNA
Rfam family: Bacterial small subunit ribosomal RNA
Source: RNAcentral